RNAcentral lists this ribosomal RNA (371 nucleotides) under uncultured bacterium. Its description in RNAcentral is "bacterial SSU rRNA". It matches the Rfam family "Bacterial small subunit ribosomal RNA", at positions 30 to 402 of the family's 1533-position model. The record is from RNAcentral.
AUUGAACGCUGGCGGCAUGCCUUACACAUGCAAGUCGAGCGGCAGCACGGGGGCAACCCUGGUGGCGAGUGGCGAACGGGUGAGUAACAUAUCGGAACGUGCCCUGGAGUGGGGGAUAACUAGUCGAAAGACUAGCUAAUACCGCAUACGAUCUACGGAUGAAAGUGGGGGAUCGCAAGACCUCAUGCCCGUGGAGCGGCCGAUAUCUGAUUAGCAGUUGGUGGGGUAAAGGCCUACCAAGGCAUCGAUCAGUAGCUGGCCUGAGAGGACGACCAGCCACACUGGGACUGAGACACGGCCCAGACUCCUACGGGAGGCAGCAGUGGGGAAUUUUGGACAAUGGGCGCAAGCCUGAUCCAGCAAUGCCGCGU